CAGUAUGUGUGUAUGUAUGUAGGUAUUAGGUAGUAUGUGUGUAUGUAUGUAGGUAUUAAGCAGUGUGUGUGUAUAGAUGUAGGUAUUAGGCAGUGUGUGUUUAUAGAUGUAGGUAUUAAGCAGUAUGUGUGUAUGGAUGUAGGUAUUAGGCAGUAUGUGUGUAUGGAUGUAGGUAUUAAGCAGUAUGUGUGUAUGGAUGUAGGUAUUAAGCAGUAUGUGUGUAUGUAUGUAGGUAUUAGGCAGUGUGUGUAUGGAUGUAGGUAUUAAGCAGUGUGUGUGUAUGGAUGUAGGUAUUAAGCAGUGUGUGUGUAUAGAUGUAGGUAUUAAGCAGUAUGUGUGUAUGUAUGUAGGUAUUAGGCAGUAUGUCUGUUAGUAUGUAGGUAUUAAGCAGUGUGUGUGUAUGGAUGUAGGUAUUAAGCAGUAUGUGUGUAUGGAUGUAGGUAUUAAGCAGUGUGUGUGUGUAUAGAUGUAGGUAUUAAGCAGUAUGUGUGUAUGGAUGUAGGUAUUGGGUAGUAUGGGU
Non-coding RNA from Pelobates cultripes (western spadefoot toad), 520 nucleotides. The record is from the annotation of a GenBank genome assembly. NCBI's taxonomy places the organism in Eukaryota, Metazoa, Chordata, Amphibia, Anura, Pelobatidae.